UUUCUUUGCAUCCUCGCGACUAAUGACAACCCUAACUCCGUCGUGGAGUGAAGCCUCUCAUUAGCCGCGCGAACCUCUGCAGAAGAAAAUCCCUUCAGGCAACAAUACAGUAGUUUACUGUGGAUUUCUGCCAUCUGGUUGAAAAAAGGGGCCAUAAGGCCCCCUUUU
Molecule: small RNA, 168 nt
Filed under: Atlantibacter hermannii
Lineage: Bacteria; Pseudomonadati; Pseudomonadota; Gammaproteobacteria; Enterobacterales; Enterobacteriaceae
Also listed under: 1 other name
Description: SraG RNA
Rfam family: SraG RNA
About the family: This RNA was discovered in E. coli during a large scale screen. Evidence was found for specific cleavage of this RNA.
Source: RNAcentral